CAGCCGCCGCGGUAAUACGUAGGGGGCAAGCGUUAUCCGGAAUUACUGAGUGUAAAGGGAGCGUAGACGGUUAAACAAGUCUGAAGUGAAAUGCCGGGGCUCAACCCCGGAGCUGCUUUGGGAACUGUAGAACUGGAGUGUCGGAGGGGUAAGCGGAAUUCCCAGUGUAGCGGUGAAAUGCGUAGAUAUUGGGAGGAACACCGGCGGCGAAGGCGGCUUACUGGACGACAACUGACGUUGAGGCUCGAAGGCGUGGGUAGCAAACAGGAUUAGAUACCCGCGUAGUCCCUGUCUCUUAUAC
This 301-nucleotide ribosomal RNA is filed under the name uncultured bacterium. Its description in RNAcentral is "partial 16S ribosomal RNA". It matches the Rfam family "Bacterial small subunit ribosomal RNA", at positions 509 to 807 of the family's 1533-position model. The record is from RNAcentral.